Molecule: ribosomal RNA, 480 nt
Filed under: uncultured bacterium
Lineage: Bacteria
Description: partial 16S ribosomal RNA
Rfam family: Bacterial small subunit ribosomal RNA
Source: RNAcentral
GACGAACGCUGGCGGCGUGCUUAACACAUGCAAGUCGAGCGAUGAAGCACCUUCGGGUGUGGAUUAGCGGCGAACGGGUGAGGAACACGUGAGGAAUCUGCCUUCCACUCUGGGAUAACUCCGGGAAACCGGGGCUAAUACCGGAUACUUUCAACUGGCGGCAUCGCCGGUUGAAGAAAGUUUUUCGGUGGAAGAUGACCUCGCGGCCUAUCAGCUUGUUGGUGAGGUAAUGGCUCACCAAGGCGACGACGGGUAGCCGGCCUGAGAGGGCGCCCGGCCACACUGGGACUGAGACACUGCCCAGACUCCUACGGGAGGCAGCAGUGGGGAAUAUUGGGCAAUGGAGGAAACUCUGACCCAGCGACGCCGCGUGAGGGAUGAAGGCCUUCGGGUUGUAAACCUCUUUCAGCAGGGAAUAAGCGAAAGUGAAGGUACCUGCAGAAGAAGCACCGGCUAACUAUGUGCCAGCCGCCGCGGUAA